UGGGGAAUUUUGGACAAUGGACGCAAGUCUGAUCCAGCCAUGCCGCGUGCGGGAAGAAGGCCUUCGGGUUGUAAACCGCUUUUGUCAGGGAAGAAACGAGUUUCUCUAAUACAGAGACUUAAUGACGGUACCUGAAGAAUAAGCACCGGCUAACUACGUGCCAGCAGCCGCGGUAAUACGUAGGGUGCGAGCGUUAAUCGGAAUUACUGGGCGUAAAGCGUGCGCAGGCGGUUAUAUAAGACAGAUGUGAAAUCCCCGGGCUCAACCUGGGAACUGCAUUUGUGACUGUAUAGCUGGAGUACGGCAGAGGGGGAUGGAAUUCCGCGUGUAGCAGUGAAAUGCGUAGAUAUGCGGAGGAACACCGAUGGUGAAGGCAAUCCCCUGGGCCUGUACUGACGCUCAUGUACGAAAGCGUGGGGAGCAAACA
This 427-nucleotide ribosomal RNA is filed under the name uncultured bacterium. RNAcentral's name for it is "bacterial SSU rRNA". It matches the Rfam family "Bacterial small subunit ribosomal RNA", at positions 355 to 774 of the family's 1533-position model. The record is from RNAcentral.